UAUGUCUUACAUAUCGUGAUAGUCGCUUAUUUGGAGUCGGCUUUCUGCUGCAGAAAACCACCGGUUUGUGAAUUUUCAUACAUGUUUUUAUAGCAGCGUUUUUGCAAAUAUAACAGAGACCACCUUACAUACAAUACAUAAACUACAGUUACACUUCACAGACGAGGAAUUGCUGCGGAAGGUGUGUGUUGAAGAGCUAGGUGGCCCAACUAUUGUGGUUUUUAGAAAGGAAAGCUCGUAUGCGCGUAUUUCUACCAUUGUCUCAUGUGGUGCUACGGACAAUUUCAUAGGAGACAUAGAGCGUGUUGUGUAUGAUGGUGCAAAUACCUGUUUAACAUGUGACGGUUAUUAUGUGCCUAGUACUGCUACCUCUGAAAUGAAUUUGACUUCCGAACUGGCUGUCCACGUCGAUACCUUACCCCGUCUAGAACAAUUUUCUGUACGUAGAUAUAUGCGCAACACCUA
Anastrepha obliqua is the source of this 465-nucleotide long non-coding RNA. RefSeq lists it as uncharacterized. NCBI's taxonomy places the organism in Eukaryota, Metazoa, Arthropoda, Insecta, Diptera, Tephritidae. The record is from RefSeq and is a predicted model, not a curated record. The transcript has 3 exons.